Tachysurus fulvidraco (yellow catfish) is the source of this 102-nucleotide small nuclear RNA. The record is from RefSeq and is a predicted model, not a curated record. NCBI's taxonomy places the organism in Eukaryota, Metazoa, Chordata, Actinopteri, Siluriformes, Bagridae.
UUGUUACAGCAGCAAAUAUACUAAAUUGAAAAGAUUCAGAGAAGAUUAGCAUUGUCUCUGUGCAAGAAUGACUCCAAAAACAUGAAAAAUUACCUUAUUUAU